GCGAGAAAACUUUGCAAUGUGCGAAAGCACGACAAGGUUAAUCCGAGUGGUUUCUGCUAAAGAAACCUUUUGUCAGUCCUAGAAACACUAACGAAUAAGGGGUGGGCAAGUUCUGGUGUCAGCCGCCGCGGUAAAACCAGCACCUCAAGUGGUCAGGAUGAUUAUUGGGCCUAAAGCAUCCGUAGCUCGUUUUGUAAGUUUUCGGUUAAAUCCAUACGCUUAACGUAUGGGCUGCCGGGAAUACUGCAUAACUAGGAAGUGGGAGAGGUAGACGGUACUCGGUAGGAAGGGGUAAAAUCCUUUGAUCUAUUGAUGACCACCUGUGGCGAAGGCGGUCUACCAGAACACGUUCGACGGUGAGGGAUGAAAGCUGGGGGAGCAAACCGGAUUAGAUACCCACGUAGUCCCUGAGCGGGCUGGGCAAGGCG
RNAcentral lists this ribosomal RNA (428 nucleotides) under uncultured bacterium. RNAcentral describes it as "bacterial SSU rRNA". It matches the Rfam family "Archaeal small subunit ribosomal RNA", at positions 339 to 778 of the family's 1478-position model. The record is from RNAcentral.